UACGUAGGGUGCGAGCGUUGUCCGGAAUUAUUGGGCGUAAAGAGCUUGUAGGCGGUUUGUCGCGUCUGCUGUGAAAAUCCGGGGCUCAACCCCGGACUUGCAGUGGGUACGGGCAGACUAGAGUGUGGUAGGGGAGACUGGAAUUCCUGGUGUAGCGGUGGAAUGCGCAGAUAUCAGGAGGAACACCGAUGGCGAAGGCAGGUCUCUGGGCCACUACUGACGCUGAGAAGCGGAAAGCAUGGGGAGCGAACAGG
RNAcentral lists this ribosomal RNA (254 nucleotides) under uncultured bacterium. Its description in RNAcentral is "partial 16S ribosomal RNA". It matches the Rfam family "Bacterial small subunit ribosomal RNA", at positions 524 to 776 of the family's 1533-position model. The record is from RNAcentral.